GACGAACGCUGGCGGCGUGCUUAACACAUGCGAGUCGAACGGAAAGGCCCUGCUCUUGUGGGGUGCUCGAUUGGCGAACGGGUGAGUAACACGUGAGUAACCUGCCCUUGACUUUGGGGUAACUUCAGGAAACUGGGGCUAAUACCGGAUAGGAGCUCCUGCUGCAUGGUGGGGGUUGGAAAGUUUCUGCGGUUGGGGAUGGACUCGCGGCUUUUCAGCUUGUUGGUGGGGUAGUUGUUUACCAAUGCUUUGACGGGUAGCCCGCCUGAGAGGGUGACCGGCCUCAUUGCGACUUAGGUAAGACCCAGAGUCCUACGGGCGGCAACAGUGGAGAAUAUUGCACACUGGGCGGAAGCCUGAUGCAGCAACGCCGCGUGCGGGAUAACGGCCUUCGGAUAGUAAACCGCUUUCGCCUGUGACCAAGCCUGAGUGACGGUAAUGGGUAAAGCAGCACCGGCUAACUACGUG
This 468-nucleotide ribosomal RNA is filed under the name uncultured bacterium. RNAcentral describes it as "partial 16S ribosomal RNA". It matches the Rfam family "Bacterial small subunit ribosomal RNA", at positions 28 to 507 of the family's 1533-position model. The record is from RNAcentral.